This 1343-nucleotide ribosomal RNA is filed under the name uncultured bacterium. RNAcentral describes it as "16S ribosomal RNA". It matches the Rfam family "Bacterial small subunit ribosomal RNA", at positions 28 to 1378 of the family's 1533-position model. The record is from RNAcentral.
GACGAACGCUGGCGGCGUGCUUAACACAUGCAAGUCGAACGGAAAGGCCCUGCUUUUGUGGGGUGCUCGAGUGGCGAACGGGUGAGUAACACGUGAGUAACCUGCCCUUGACUUUGGGAUAACUUCAGGAAACUGGGGCUAAUACUGGAUAGGAGCUCCUGCUGCAUGGUGGGGGUUGGAAAGUUUCGGCGGUUGGGGAUGGGCUCGCGGCUUAUCAGCUUGUUGGUGGGGUAGUGGCUUACCAAGGCUUUGACGGGUAGCCGGCCUGAGAGGGUGACCGGCCACAUUGGGACUGAGAUACGGCCCAGACUCCUACGGGAGGCAGCAGUGGGGAAUAUUGCACAAUGGGCGGAAGCCUGAUGCAGCAACGCCGCGUGCGGGAUGACGGCCUUCGGGUUGUAAACCGCUUUCGCCUGUGACGAAGCGUGAGUGACGGUAAUGGGUAAAGAAGCACCGGCUAACUACGUGCCAGCAGCCGCGGUGAUACGUAGGGUGCGAGCGUUGUCCGGAUUUAUUGGGCGUAAAGGGCUCGUAGGUGGUUGAUCGCGUCGGAAGUGUAAUCUUGGGGCUUAACCCUGAGCGUGCUUUCGAUACGGGUUGACUUGAGGAAGGUAGGGGAGAAUGGAAUUCCUGGUGGAGCGGUGGAAUGCGCAGAUAUCAGGAGGAACACCAGUGGCGAAGGCGGUUCUCUGGGCCUUUCCUGACGCUGAGGAGCGAAAGCGUGGGGAGCGAACAGGCUUAGAUACCCUGGUAGUCCACGCUGUAAACGGUGGGUACUAGGUGUGGGGUCCAUUCCACGGGUUCCGUGCCGUAGCUAACGCUUUAAGUACCCCGCCUGGGGAGUACGGCCGCAAGGCUAAAACUCAAAGGAAUUGACGGGGCCCCGCACAAGCGGCGGAGCAUGCGGAUUAAUUCGAUGCAACGCGUAGAACCUUACCUGGGUUUGACAUGGAUCGGGAGCGCUCAGAGAUGGGUGUGCCUCUUUUGGGGUCGGUUCACAGGUGGUGCAUGGCUGUCGUCAGCUCGUGUCGUGAGAUGUUGGGUUAAGUCCCGCAACGAGCGCAACCCUUGUUCACUGUUGCCAGCACGUUAUGGUGGGGACUCAGUGGAGACCGCCGGGGUCAACUCGGAGGAAGGUGGGGAUGACGUCAAGUCAUCAUGCCCCUUAUGUCCAGGGCUUCACGCAUGCUACAAUGGCUGGUACAGAGAGUGGCGAGCCUGUGAGGGUGAGCGAAUCUCGGAAAGCCGGUCUCAGUUCGGAUUGGGGUCUGCAACUCGACCUCAUGAAGUCGGAGUCGCUAGUAAUCGCAGAUCAGCAACGCUGCGGUGAAUACGUUCCCGGG